This 495-nucleotide ribosomal RNA is filed under the name uncultured bacterium. RNAcentral describes it as "partial 16S ribosomal RNA". It matches the Rfam family "Bacterial small subunit ribosomal RNA", at positions 28 to 507 of the family's 1533-position model. The record is from RNAcentral.
GACGAACGCUGGCGGCGUGCCUAAUACAUGCAAGUAGAACGCUGAAGGAGGAGCUUGCUUCUCUGGAUGAGUUGCGAACGGGUGAGUAACGCGUAGGUAACCUGCCUGGUAGCGGGGGAUAACUAUUGGAAACGAUAGCUAAUACCGCAUAAUAGUAGAUGUUGCAUGACAUUUGCUUAAAAGGUGCAAUUGCAUCACUACCAGAUGGACCUGCGUUGUAUUAGCUAGUUGGUGAGGUAACGGCUCACCAAGGCGACGAUACAUAGCCGACCUGAGAGGGUGAUCGGCCACACUGGGACUGCGACACGGCCCAGACUCCUACGGGAGGCAGCAGUAGUGAAUCUUCGGCAAUGGACGGAAGUCUGACCGAGCAACGCCGCGUGAGUGAAGGAGGUUUUCGGAUCGUAAAGCUCUGUUGUAAGAGAAGAACGAGUGUGAGAGUGGAAAGUUCACACUGUGACGGUAUCUUACCAGAAAGGGACGGCUAACUACGUG